This 501-nucleotide ribosomal RNA is filed under the name uncultured bacterium. RNAcentral describes it as "bacterial SSU rRNA". It matches the Rfam family "Bacterial small subunit ribosomal RNA", at positions 29 to 510 of the family's 1533-position model. The record is from RNAcentral.
AGUGAACGCUGGCGGCAGGCCUAAUACAUGCAAGUCGAACGGCAGCACGGCAGAGCUUGCUCUGUGGGUGGCGAGUGGCGGACGGGUGAGGAAUACAUGGGAAUCUGCCCAGUCGUGGGGGAUAACGUAGGGAAACUUACGCUAAUACCGCAUGCGCCCUUCGGGGGAAAGCCGGGGACCUUCGGGCCUGGCGCGAUUGGAUGAGCCCAUGUCGGAUUAGCUAGUUGGCGGGGUAAUGGCCCACCAAGGCGACGAUCCGUAGCUGGUCUGAGAGGAUGAUCAGCCACACUGGAACUGAGACACGGUCCAGACUCCUACGGGAGGCAGCAGUGGGGAAUUUUGGACAAUGGGCGCAAGCCUGAUCCAGCAAUGCCGCGUGCAGGAUGAAGGGCCUUCGGGUUGUAAACGUAGCUUUUGUUACGGUAACGAAACGGUAGAGCUCUAAUAAAGCUUAGCUAAUGACGGUACCGUAACGAAUAAGCACCGGCUAACUACGUAGCC